Molecule: ribosomal RNA, 253 nt
Filed under: uncultured bacterium
Lineage: Bacteria
Description: partial 16S ribosomal RNA
Rfam family: Bacterial small subunit ribosomal RNA
Source: RNAcentral
UACAGAGGUCUCAAGCGUUGUUCGGAUUCAUUGGGCGUAAAGGGCGCGUAGGCGGCGGGGUAAGUCGGGUGUGAAAUCUCAGAGCUCAACUCUGAAACUGCACUCGAUACUGCUCUGCUUGAGGACUGGAGAGGAGACUGGAAUUCACGGUGUAGCAGUGAAAUGCGUAGAUAUCGUGAGGAAGACCAGUGGCGAAGGCGGGUCUCUGGACAGUUCCUGACGCUGAGGCGCGAAGGCCAGGGGUGCAAACGGG